CAGUCGCCGCGGGAAUACGUAGGGUGCAAGCGUUAAUCGGAAUUACUGGGCGUAAAGCGUGCGCAGGCGGUUUGUUAAGACAGAUGUGAAAUCCCCGGGCUCAACCUGGGAACUGCAUUUGUGACUGGCAGGCUAGAGUAUGGCAGAGGGGGGUGGAAUUCCGCGUGUAGCAGUGAAAUGCGUAGAUAUGCGGAGGAACACCGAUGGCGAAGGCAGCCCCCUGGGCCAAUACUGACGCUCAUGCACGAAAGCGUGGGGAGCAAACAGGAUUAGAUACCCCUGUAGUCCCUGUCUCUUAUAA
This 301-nucleotide ribosomal RNA is filed under the name uncultured bacterium. RNAcentral describes it as "partial 16S ribosomal RNA". It matches the Rfam family "Bacterial small subunit ribosomal RNA", at positions 509 to 809 of the family's 1533-position model. The record is from RNAcentral.